UGGCGAACGGGUGAGUAACGCGUGAGGAACCUGCCUCAAAGAGGGGGACAACAGUUGGAAACGACUGCUAAUACCGCAUAAGCCCACGGGUCGGCAUCGACCUGAGGGAAAAGGAGCAAUCCGCUUUGAGAUGGCCUCGCGUCCGAUUAGCUAGUUGGUGAGGUAACGGCCCACCAAGGCGACGAUGGAUAGGGGUUCUGAGAGGAAGGUCCCCCACAUUGGUACUGAGACACGGACCAA
Molecule: ribosomal RNA, 240 nt
Filed under: uncultured bacterium
Lineage: Bacteria
Description: partial 16S ribosomal RNA
Rfam family: Bacterial small subunit ribosomal RNA
Source: RNAcentral